RNAcentral lists this long non-coding RNA (2703 nucleotides) under Marmota monax (woodchuck). Lineage: Eukaryota; Metazoa; Chordata; Mammalia; Rodentia; Sciuridae. The record is from RNAcentral.
CUUAUAUUGCAUUAGGUAUUAUAUGUAAACUGGAUGACUUAAAGUAAGGAGAAGGUAUAGGGUGGACACGCAGGGGCUACAUGAAGACACUUUGCCACUUUAUGUAAGGAUUUGAACACCCAUGAAUUUUUCUAUCCAAGGUAAGUUCUGGAAUUAAUGCCCCAUCUCUUACAGAGAGACUGUAUUUGUUUUGUUUGGGUCUGUUUUUAAAAAAUAAUAAUAAAUAAAUAAAUCCAUUGUUUAGGAAAAAAUGAAAUUAGCAAUUGAUAUACUGAACCACAUAAAAUCGGAAUGGAAGCUAAGCCAUAAAUAAUCUGACGUCUAAUUAAGGCAAGUGAAAUGGAACCCAGUUUCUUAAGUGAUCAUCUUUCAAAAUGGAACCCAGUUUCUUAAGUGAUCAUCUUUCAAAAUUCUAGACAUUCAUAGGUAAUGACAAGUUCCCACAGCCUUUAUCUGAAGUGUUUAUUGCACAUACGUUGCUUCCCUGCUGCAGAGAGAAAUGUCAGCACAAGGAGAUUAAAGCAUAAAGAAAAUGCCCAAAUUCCUAACUCCAGUGAUUUUAACAACGAAAGCAAGAGACAAAAUAAGAACCAACCAAUUGGUAUUAAUAAAACACAAAGAGUGAGAAUCUAAGUAGAGAAGCAGCUGAAGAUAAAAACCAUUCUCAGUUUCAACUGACUACUGACUAAUCUAGGGUCCCCCAAAACUUUUCUUGUCAGAGAUUUGGUAAAAUCCACAGAUUACAGGAAAGAAAUCCUAUGCAAACUCUCCGUCUCAUCCUACACAAAGAAAACUGAGACCCCGAGAAAGGGUUUGCAUUACUGGCCAAGGUCCCAGCCUAUGAGGAGCAAAACCCAGAUUAGAGUUAAGAGUUCACUUUGUGAGCUUUGCUUAGAAGGAUGAAUUCAAAGCUGGAGACUUUUUUUCCUCCUGAUAAUAAACAUCUAUGUGUGUAUAUGUGUGUGUGUGUGUGUGUGUGUGUGUGAGAGAGAGAGAGAGAGAGAGAGAUACCUAGAAAAAGCAAAAAGAAUGUAGAGAAGCUAUGAAACUUUCAACUAUAAUUAUAUCAACCUGUCAAGGUAAUCAUACUAGGCAUUUUUGUUAGAUUUCCCUCCAGGUUUGUUUGUUUGUUUGUUUGUUUCUCUCCCAAUGAAUAUUUUACCUAAAUGAUUUCAGAUUACAUAUACCAUUUCAUAUUCAGCCUCGUAACUUAGCAUUAUAUCAUGAGCAUCUUCCAACCUCAUUUAAAACACUUUGUCCACAUUGCUUUAAAAAGUGCAUAAUAUUUUCUGGUGACAUUUCCUGUUUGUUUUGCUUAGGGCUCUUUGAAAGUGGCAAUGCACAGGUCUUGGAGCUUUCCAUGGGAAUUAUCCACGUUGUUCAAGAAUUUUUCACAUCAAUGGCAAAUAGCAUUCACCGUGGAUGGGAAACCGGGAGGGGUGAGGCAGUGAGCAAUUGCUUAGUGGAAAGCUGCUACAAUGCCCAGCGACCUUGUUUAGGAAAACAGUCCUGCCUGAGGAAUGCCGGCGUUUCUUUGUAGGGUCUCCCCAGCAAUCCUUCGGUUGCUCUCAGCCAUAGGGCCACUGAAGACGGGAGAGAGUUUCUUCCUGAAACUUUCAUACAGUUCUCUACAAAGAGAACUGGGCUACUCCUGGUUUCUUCAACCAGUGAAUACGUUGCUAACCUCGAAAGAAAAAAGCUUCCCUUUAGCAAGAAUUCAAGUCCAGAAAAAGUAGUACAAAUCAAGAGGAGAGACCAAAGGACUGUCCUUGACAGUCAUAUCCAAAUGCAUUCGAUCUGUGAUUGCCAUCUGAAACAUUUAAGCUUCGCCAUCACAAGACAGAAACAUUUCAAAUAUAGGAAGAAGUUAUGGCUCUGUUCCACGGCAGUUUCAACAAACCCAUGAAGCAGUUUUGUCUUGCAGAGGUGGGUGUGGAGAGGUACCAUCAUUCCCGUUAAACCUGUCUGGCAGCUCCUUGAGUUUUAACUGCUUAGCAGUUCUGCUUCAGAUGGACUUGAACAAAGCAUCUCCAAGUCCUUUCCCACCAAGGCACGCAGAGGAGACGUCAUCUGUCAUCUCUCAACAGCCUCUUACUGUGCUUUACUAAGUAGAGAGACGACAAUCUCAUGAUUUAAAAUAGGCAUUGCUAUCUCUUUAAAACAAAAAUUGAUAUUUGCAUCUAACAUAUCCCUAAUGUAGAAAAGGAGGCUUUUUCAACCUUCCUUUUUAACUACCGAGGAGCUUGUCUAACAAUAGAAGAACAUAAGAGGACUUAAAUUAACAUGAAAUAUUUCUUGAUUUCAGAAUUAUUACAAACAAAUGUUAAUAAAAUGUGUGUUUAUACAAAAGAAGGUAAAAUAUAAAGUGUUUUUAGAAGGAAAGUUUUAAGCCAUGUAUACAACAUGGUUAGAUUUUUUAAUAUUAAAAAUAUUUUAGGAAAGACUUACGAAGUGAUCUUCAGGCAUAAAAAUUAUUCACUUGAAGAUUGAUAUACAGAAUAUUUAUUUGUUCAAGUGCACAUUUAUAAUAGAUUUUUAAAAUAAAAAUAUGUGAAAAUUUUUUUAAAAGAGUGAAGCACAAAAUUUUCAAAUGUAAAAAAUAAAAUAAAAAUGUUCAGUCUUGUAAAAAAAUGGUAGUUUUCAUAGCUAGUUUCGAAAAUAAAGGUGAGAUUCCACAACAUCUGAGUUAUUAAUCUGGUAUUC